UUGAAGAAGGUAUCUUUGGGUCUGGCUCUUGUCUAUGUUUCUUGGAACAGAACGUCACAGAGGGUGAGAAUCCCGUGCGAUGAGAUGACCCAGACCUAUGUAAAGUUCCUUCGAAGAGUCGAGUUGUUUGGGAAUGCAGCUCUAAGUGGGUGGUAAAUUCCAUCUAAAGCUAAAUAUUGGCGAGAGACCGAUAGCGAACAAGUACAGUGAUGGAAAGAUGAAAAGAACUUUGAAAAGAGAGUGAAAAAGUACGUGAAAUUGUUGAAAGGGAAGGGCUUGAGAUCAGACUUGGUAUUUUGUAUGUUACUCUUUCGGGGGUGGCCUCUACAGUUUACCGGGCCAGCAUCAGUUUGGGCGGUAGGAGAAUUGCAAAGAAAUGUGGCACUGCUUCGGUAGUGUGUCAUAGUCUUUGUCGAUACUGCCAGCCUAGACUGAGGACUGCGGCUUCGGCCUAGGAUGUUGGCAUAAUGAUCUUAAGUCGCCCGUCUUGAAACACGGACC
This 501-nucleotide ribosomal RNA is filed under the name Lodderomyces parapsilosis. Its description in RNAcentral is "eukaryotic LSU rRNA". It matches the Rfam family "Eukaryotic large subunit ribosomal RNA", at positions 150 to 667 of the family's 3401-position model. Lineage: Eukaryota; Fungi; Ascomycota; Pichiomycetes; Serinales; Debaryomycetaceae. The record is from RNAcentral.